UGUCCAGACUCCUACGGGAGGCAGCAGUGAGGAAUAUUGGUCAAUGGACGAGAGUCUGAACCAGCCAAGUAGCGUGAAGGAUGACUGCCCUAUGGGUUGUAAACUUCUUUUAUAUGGGAAUAAAAUGUUCCACGUGUGGGAUUUUGUAUGUACCAUAUGAAUAAGCAUCGGCUAACUCCGUGCCAGCAGCCGCGGUAAUACGGAGGAUGCGAGCGUUAUCCGGAUUUAUUGGGUUUAAAGGGUGCGUAGGCGGAUUUUUAAGUCAGCGGUAAAAUGUCCGGGCUCAACCCGGGCCGGCCGUUGAAACUGGGGAUCUUGAGUGGGCGAGAAGUAUGCGGAAUGCGUGGUGUAGCGGUGAAAUGCAUAGAUAUCACGCAGAACUCCGAUUGCGAAGGCAGCAUACCGGCGCCCGACUGACGCUGAGGCACGAAAGCGUGGGGAUCGAACAGGAUUAGAUACCCGCGUAUU
RNAcentral lists this ribosomal RNA (468 nucleotides) under uncultured bacterium. RNAcentral describes it as "bacterial SSU rRNA". It matches the Rfam family "Bacterial small subunit ribosomal RNA", at positions 328 to 794 of the family's 1533-position model. The record is from RNAcentral.